Non-coding RNA from Tupaia belangeri (northern tree shrew), 210 nucleotides. The record is from Rfam. Lineage: Eukaryota; Metazoa; Chordata; Mammalia; Scandentia; Tupaiidae.
GUGAGGGGCCGGGCAAAUGGAGGGAGGGGAGAGGACGGGGGAGCUUGCGCCCCAGGAGCGAAGCAAACAGCUGUGGAGGCGCUGCCCAGGGCUCAAGCUUCCGAACAGGUUAGCUAGACUGGGAUCCACCCGGUAAUUCACAGGAGGGGGGGAGACAGAGGGAGAGGGGGAGAGAGCCUCACUAGAGGACAGAGGGAGGGAGGGCGAGAG